RNAcentral lists this ribosomal RNA (1304 nucleotides) under uncultured bacterium. Its description in RNAcentral is "bacterial SSU rRNA". It matches the Rfam family "Bacterial small subunit ribosomal RNA", at positions 97 to 1401 of the family's 1533-position model. The record is from RNAcentral.
GGCGGACGGGUGAGUAACGCGUGAGUAACCUGCCUUCAAGAGGGGGAUAACAUUCUGAAAAGAAUGCUAAUACCGUAUGACAUAUCGCAACGACUUGGUUCUGAUAUCAAAGAUUUUAUCGCUUGAAGAUGGACUCGCGUCCGAUUAGUUAGUUGGUGAGGUAACGGCUCACCAAGACCGCGAUCGGUAGCCGGACUGAGAGGUUGAACGGCCACAUUGGGACUGAGACACGGCCCAGACUCCUACGGGAGGCAGCCCUGAGGAAUAUUGGUCAAUGGACGUAAGUCUGAACCAGCCAAGUCGCGUGAGGGAAGACUGCCCUAUGGGUUGUAAACCUCUUUUAUAAGGGAAGAAUAAGUUCUACGUGUAGAAUGAUGCCUGUACCUUAUGAAUAAGCAUCGGCUAACUCCGUGCCAGCAGCCGCGGUAAUACGGAGGAUGCGAGCGUUAUCCGGAUUUAUUGGGUUUAAAGGGAGCGUAGAUGGGUUGUUAAGUCAGUUGUGAAAGUUUGCGGCUCAACCGUAAAAUUGCAAUUGAUACUGGCAGUCUUGAGUACAGUUGAGGUAGGCGGAAUUCGUGGUGUAGCGGUGAAAUGCUUAGAUAUCACGAAGAACUCCGAUUGCGAAGGCAGCUUACUAACCUGUAACUGACAUUGAUGCUCGAAAGUGUGGGUAUCAAACAGGAUUAGAUACCCUGGUAGUCCACACGGUAAACGAUGAAUACUCGCUGUAGGCGAUAUACAGUCUGCGGCCAAGCGAAAGCAUUAAAGUAUUCCACCUGGGGAGUACGCCGGCAACGGUGAAACUCAAAGGAAUUGACGGGGGCCCGCACAAGCGGAGGAACAUGUGGUUUAAUUCGAUGAUACGCGAGGAACCUUACCCGGGCUCAAACGCAGGGGGAAUAUAUAUGAAAGUAUAUAGCUAGCAAUAGUCACCCGCGAGGUGCUGCAUGGUUGUCGUCAGCUCGUGCCGUGAGGUGUCGGCUUAAGUGCCAUAACGAGCGCAACCCCUAUGGACAGUUACUAACGGGUGAAGCCGAGGACUCUGUCUAGACUGCCGGCGCAAGCCGCGAGGAAGGUGGGGAUGACGUCAAAUCAGCACGGCCCUUACGUCCGGGGCGACACACGUGUUACAAUGGCAGGUACAGAAGGCAGCCAGUCAGCAAUGACGCGCGAAUCCCGAAAACCUGUCUCAGUUCGGAUUGGAGUCUGCAACCCGACUCCAUGAAGCUGGAUUCGCUAGUAAUCGCGCAUCAGCCAUGGCGCGGUGAAUACGUUCCCGGGCCUUGCACAAACCGCCCGUCAAG